This 480-nucleotide long non-coding RNA is filed under the name Linum usitatissimum (flax). RNAcentral's name for it is "long non-coding RNA (LUSI_LNC008124)". Lineage: Eukaryota; Viridiplantae; Streptophyta; Magnoliopsida; Malpighiales; Linaceae. The record is from RNAcentral.
CUUGCUACAUGAGUGAACCGACUACUCCAUCGGAGGUCCUGUUGAAAUUUACAGUUCAGUCAGACAGAUGAUGUCAUAAAAUUAGGGCUGCUGUGUAGGAUAUGAUGGAAGAAACAACGCAAUCUACGGAAUCAGCAGUAGUAGUGACAACAUCAUGUCCAUGGAUAAGCUCAAUACUACAAGAGGAUCGCUAAACUGAAGCCAAUACUCCCAUAAAUAUCGUAAAUCAACAAUUCAAAUAAGCAGAGUUAAGAACAAUGAUUUGAGCGACUGAAAUUGGAGAGUGAGAAAAGGGUACAAUAGUACAGCGGCGUGUGUUUAGUUUCCUUUUGGUGUAGCCGGAUCUUAUCUUCUUCUGGAACUGGUUCGGAGAAGAAGAAGAGGUGACGGAAUCAACCGCCGGCGACGUCACCCUUUCGCCUUCAUUUUUCGAAUCGGGUCUUUGUUUGUUCCGCAACUUGGUCAAACAGUCCAUUAUUG